AUGCUGGCGGCAGGCCUAACACAUGCAAGUUGAGCGGUAGCACAGGAGAGCUUGCUCUCUGGGUGACGAGCGGCGGACGGGUGAGUAAUGUCUGGGAAACUGCCUGAUGGAGGGGGAUAACUACUGGAAACGGUAGCUAAUACCGCAUGACCUCGCAAGAGCAAAGUGGGGGACCUUCGGGCCUCACGCCAUCGGAUGUGCCCAGAUGGGAUUAGCUAGUAGGUGGGGUAAUGGCUCACCUAGGCGACGAUCCCUAGCUGGUCUGAGAGGAUGACCAGCCACACUGGAACUGAGACACGGUCCAGACUCCUACGGGAGGCAGCAGUGGGGAAUAUUGCACAAUGGGCGCAAGCCUGAUGCAGCCAUGCCGCGUGUGUGAAGAAGGCCUUAGGGUUGUAAAGCACUUUCAGCGAGGAGGAAGGCGUUGUAGUUAAUAGCUGCAACGAUUGACGUUACUCGCAGAAGAAGCACCGGCUAACUCCGUGCCAGCAGCCGCGGUAAUACGGAGGGUGCAAGCGUUAAUCGGAAUUACUGGGCGUAAAGCGCGCGUAGGUGGUUUGUUAAGUUGGAUGUGAAAUCCCCGGGCUCAACCUGGGAACUGCAUUCAAAACUGACUGACUAGAGUAUGGUAGAGGGUGGUGGAAUUUCCUGUGUAGCGGUGAAAUGCGUAGAUAUAGGAAGGAACACCAGUGGCGAAGGCGACCACCUGGACUAAUACUGACACUGAGGUGCGAAAGCGUGGGGAGCAAAC
Molecule: ribosomal RNA, 751 nt
Filed under: uncultured bacterium
Lineage: Bacteria
Description: bacterial SSU rRNA
Rfam family: Bacterial small subunit ribosomal RNA
Source: RNAcentral